RNAcentral lists this long non-coding RNA (1690 nucleotides) under Marmota monax (woodchuck). The record is from RNAcentral. Lineage: Eukaryota; Metazoa; Chordata; Mammalia; Rodentia; Sciuridae.
CUUCAACUUAGCACACUCGCGCUGGGCCAGCCCAGCAGCAUGACUGGGGCCCUUUAUCCCGGCCCCCCAGCCAGCCUGCAGGACGGCUCACAGGCUCCAUUCACGGCUGCCACACGCUGCCUCCCGGCCACGUUCCUUUUUCAGGCUUUUGGAAACCCGCGAACCGUGGGGGAAACAAGCCCGGCUGUUUGCGCCUUGGCCACUGGCAGCCACGCCCCGACCCACCAGGCCUGCUGGUCCCUCCCUGGUCUGGCCCCCCAGGACCUCGAGGCCCCUGGCGCCCAUUCCCCAGGUGAGGAGACCCAGCCCGGCCUGUGUCCUCCAGGGGUGGGGAGGACUCCAGGCAGGCCCAGAGACACCACCCUCCUCAGAGGCUCCCAGGCUCAGGCCUCUGCAAAGGCCCCAAGUUUUCCUCAUUUGUCACAUUCUCUUGGACUGGUCAAUGCAGGCAGGGUCCAGUGCCUGUCCCAGGACGCCCAGCCCAGGGGCGGGGGGGUGAGGUGCCCACCCCAGGGCCAGACCUCCUUUUAGAGAGAGAGACCACAGCUAAGAGGACAGGGGUCCUGAGGUGGCCUGAGGCUCAGAACCUGGCCACUGUGGUGGGCAGAGAUCAGGGAGGCUCCGGAGAGCCUGUGACCCUUUGGAGUGGCUGUUGCUCAUGACACAGGAGCGCCAGCACUGGCCUGGACAUAGGUGCCGUCCACCACGACCCACCUGGCACCGUACACAGGCCCACAGGCACACCCUGCCUGCUCACCAUGCAGACACAGGCAAAAGGUCCUGCACAGACAGGGGCAAGCGUCGUCCAUGCUGGUCUGUUUGGACCCAGCAUCUGGACUUGACCCUACAGAGCAGACCCUUGCGGCUCCCAGCCCCGACUGCAGCUCCUCUGUCCUUCCAUAGGCCAGGCCUGGAAUCCUCUCAUGCCCCCAAGGGCUUCAGUUCCCUCCGCUUUUGGGAGGCAGAUAUCCGAGAAGAACCUGGGGGUCACCAGUUCCACCCUCCAAUCCACAAGGAGGGUGGGUUCCCACACGCAGCCAAUGCCCCUGGCUGGAGUUCAGAUCCAAGGUCAGGAAGCGGGAAGGCUGCGGGGAAGUAAUAAUGGACGGGUGGACGGGGUGUUCCAGGCUGGCGUCCUGCUGCACCCACCCCCCACCCGCAGCCUGCACAGAACCUCUGCAAGGGGCAGGGAGCAAGUUCUGGGACCCCUGGCAAUGCGUCUUUGGAGGUAAGACCACCUUCUUCCCCAAGUCUCAUGGGUUGGGGGUCAGGAGGCCUGGAGAGGGCCUGGCCAGUGUUGGGUGGGCCCAGUGUGAGGGCCCGACAGGGUUAAUGAGCUGCCUCUGCUCCCACACUAUAGUUUGGUCAUUAAAACCCCAUCUCCUGCCUGUGUCCGGCCCUCCCAGGGCCUCCCGGGGCUUUUGUCUCUCUUUCUAAGGCUCUGACAGAAUCAGGCGGGUGGGGGCCCCAGGAAGAGGGGGGGCAGAAGUCUACAAAGCCCCCGCCCCCCCUCAGCCGUGGCCCUGGCACCUCCUCUGCCAGGAUGCCAGCCAGGAGCCACUCCCAGGAUGCCCCCCUCGGGGGCUGGCACGGGCCAGGCUGGGCGGGUGUCCCCUGAGCCAGCCCGUGGUGGAUCCACCCUGGCCGCACCCCGUGGCCACCCCCGCGCUGUUCCCAGCCUGAUGGAGCC